Molecule: non-coding RNA, 121 nt
Organism: Picea glauca (white spruce)
Lineage: Eukaryota; Viridiplantae; Streptophyta; Pinopsida; Pinales; Pinaceae
Source: Rfam
ACAUGCCUACAACAUAGCAUUAAUGCAACGGAUCCCAUUAUAACUCCACAGUUAAGCGUGCUCAGGAUAGAGUAGUAUUAGGAUGGGUGACUUCCUGAGAAGUCCUAUUGUUUUACAUGCC